Myotis brandtii (Brandt's bat) is the source of this 1504-nucleotide long non-coding RNA. RefSeq lists it as uncharacterized. The transcript is spliced from 2 exons. The record is from RefSeq and is a predicted model, not a curated record. Lineage: Eukaryota; Metazoa; Chordata; Mammalia; Chiroptera; Vespertilionidae.
CACCCCCUGGGGAGCCGGGCCGACGCGUCACGGCUCAACCAGAAGGGCAACUUCAAGGGGGCGUGGGCGGGGUGACGGCGGGGCGGGACCUGGACGGGUCUGAAAAAACCGUGCGGUUCUCUUCCCCGGGUUGAGUCACCGGUGCCCGGGGAAGGCCUGUGGCGCGGCCCGCUGGGCUCCUAGUCUCUUAAAUGAGAUUUCGAGACCCCCUAGAAAUGCCAGAAAUACGGGUUGGGUCGUGAGGCCCCAGGAAGACAAUGGGUAACCCCCCAGUUUAGCGCGCUGCGUCCUCAUCCGAGAUUCCCGCUGAAGUUAAAGGCUUUGAUGCGAGGUGUAGACACUCACCUUGCCGAGUGAACCACACGUUAAUUUAAGGUGCCUCCCAUGGUAUGGAGAAAUUUCUUCUUGCUUCCACCUUCAUGAUAUUGCACUCCUUUGGCAGUUGUUGAAGGUAGGUGGGAUGGGAGUGAACAGGCUGCUGGUUGACCCACAUUAGUGACCCCUCCAGGCUGCCAGGCUGGCCUUUCCAGUCCUUCCUUCUUCCUCCUUCCUUGGAACUUUUGAUACAGGGAAAGAUGGCCUUUGCACAUUGGACACUGUGAGCUAGAGCACUCUCUAUCAGGAGGCCAUGCAUACUGUUGUGAGGUUUAUCUGCCCUGGAGAGUUGCUGGGCUGUGUUUAAUGGGUGACUCUGAGGCCUCGAGGAAAUGAAAGGGGGAGGGGGAGUCCAGACUUUUGUUAGCUCCUGAUUUAUGACUCAUUUAUCACAUCUGUUGCAUGACAGGUUGGCCUCCUUCCCCCACCCACUGCAUCCCAAAUUGCAUAAAAAGGACAUGUGCAAAGCAGGACACCUCUCCUUAACCCGUCUCCCACUCUGUACUACCCUUUAAAGACUAUGGGUGUACUGGAUAACCUUUCUUUCCUUAAAAUAUCAGUGAAUAUUGUUUUUUUAAAACCCCUCACAGGUGAGCCCCAAAUCUCACCUAGACUGCUGAGCACAAUGAGAAAGGCUCCAGCUAGGCAGAUAAGCUCUUGCCCUUCUUUCUGUAACUUAUAAAUUGUGUGCUUUUGCAAAUUGGGCAACUUCUGCAAUCAGGCUAAUGGUAUGCAUUUUCAGAGCAAAGUGUGGUUGGCUUUUUCUGUUUAGGUUUAGAGAUGACUCAGGAUGUCAUUGGAGCUUGCUGCUUGGGAAUUUCUAAUGUGGGGAAAGCUUGUGGGAAAUUUGAAGGUGGCUGUGAAGCCCCCUGAUAAUUACGGUAGGAACUUUCAUCUUUAUAAAGUACUUUUGUUUCUGGGGUAAAUUCCACAUGCUCUAACUUUUUUUGAAUAAUUAUGGGUCUUUUAAUGCUAGUAUUUCAUGAACAAUGACCAUGAACCUAGUACGUACUGAGUAUUGCCACAGAGUAUAUAUACAUUUGCAUUAUUUUUGUAUCCAUACUUAGCUAAUACUUCUUUAGUGCUCACCUUCUGCCAGAUACUGUGCUAAGCACUUUACAUAUUUUAA